AGAGCGCAGGGCGAAUGCCUUGGCACUGGGAGCCGACGAAGGACGUGAUAAGCUGCGAUAAGCUGCGGGGAGGAGCAAAUAUCCAUUGAUCCGCAGAUUUCCGAAUGGAGAAAUCCGUAUGGAGAAGUCCAUACAUCAUAUACUGAAUUCAUAGGUAUAUGAGGGAAACCGCCUGAACUGAAACAUCUAAGUAGGGCGAGGAAAAGAAAUCAACCGAGAUACCGCAAGUAGUGGCGAGCGAACGCGGCAGAGGCCAAACCCGUAGUAGAAAUACUAUGGGGGUUGCGGACUGCAUUUAGCAUUGUUGAUCUUUAACCGAAGGGCAUGGGAAGGCCCACCGAAGAACGUGAGAGUCGUGUAGGUGAAAAGGAGAGACAGCGAGCAGGAUCCAGAGUACUGCGGGACACGAGGAAUCCCGUGGGAAGCCGGGGGGACCACCCUCCAAGCCUAAAUACUACCCAGUGACCGAUAGCGUAUAGUACUGUGAAGGAAAGGUGAAAAGGACCCCGGGAGGGGAGUGAAAUAGAACCUGAAACCCUGUGCUUACAAGCACCGAGAGCCCGUCAAUGGGUGAUCGGGUACUUUUUGUAGAACGGUCCGGCGAGUAUAUGGAACAAGCAAGGUUAAGGUCUUCAGGACCGAAGCCGAAGGGAAACCAAGUCUUAAUAGGGCGCACAGUUUGUUUCAUAUGACCCGAAACCGGGUGACCUAUCCAUGUCCAGGUUGAAGUGGCGGUAAAACGCCAUGGAGGACCGAACCAACCCCCGUUGAAAAGGUGGUGGAUGAGGUGUGGAUAGCGGAGAAAUUCCAAUCGAACUCGGAUAUAGCUGGUUCUCCCCGAAAUAGCUUUAGGGCUAGCGUUGUGUUAGAUUACCGGAGGUAAAGCACUGAAUAGGCUAGGGGGCGAGAGUCUACCGACCCUUAUCAAACUCUGAAUGCCGGAUAAUUGAUGCACAGCAGUCAGACAGUGUGAGAUAAGUUUCAUUGUCAAAAGGGAAACAGCCCAGACCCACAGCUAAGGUCCCAAAUGUAUGUUAAGUGGAAAAGGAUGUCCAGUUGCACAAACAACCAGGAUGUUGGCUUAGAAGCAGCCACACAUUCAAAGAGUGCGUAACAGCUCACUGGUCGAGUGACCGGGCGCCGAAAAUGUAACGGGGCUAAACAUACAACCGAAGCUUGGGCUGCACAGCAAUGUGCGGGGUAGGGGAGCGUUGUGUGCGGGGUGAAGCAUGAGCGGAAGCGCAUGUGGACUGCACAGAAGUGAGAAUGCCGGAAUGAGUAGCGCGAAUUAUGUGAGAAUCAUAAUGGCCGAAAGCCUAAGGUUUCUGGAGGAAGGUUCGUCCGCUCCAGGUUAGCCGGGAGCUAAGGUGAGGCCGAAAGGCGUAGCCGAUGCACAUACGGUGGAGAUUCCGUAGCCAUCAAAAGAUUUAAGCAGAGGGACACAGUAGAAGGGUACAUGCCGGGCGUUGGUAGCCCCGGUUGCAAGGGACCGAAAUUAGAGUAGGGAAGAUGGACUUGGAUACUGGCGAGAAAAGCUCUGUGGAUAUCUGCGAUGCCCGUACCGCAAACCGACACAGGUAGGUAGGAAGAGGAUUCUAAGGCCAACGGGAGAAGGGUUGUUAAGGAACUCGGCAAGUUGACCCCGUAACUUCGGGAGAAGGGGUGCUCUGGAAACAGAGCCGCAGAGAAUAGGUCCAGGCAACUGUUUAGCAAAAACACAGCUCUCUGCUAAAUCGAAAGAUGAUGUAUAGGGGGUGACGCCUGCCCGGUGCUGGAAGGUUAAGAGGAGGAGUGAGAGCCCCGAAUCGAAGCCCCAGUAAACGGCGGCCGUAACUAUAACGGUCCUAAGGUAGCGAAAUUCCUUGUCAGGUAAGUUCUGACCCGCACGAAAGGCGUAAUGAUCUGGACACUGUCUCAACAGCCCACCCGGCGAAAUUGUAGUACCGGUGAAGAUGCCGGUUACCCGCGACAAGACGGAAAGACCCCAUGGAGCUUUACUGCAGCCUAAUAUUGGAUUUCGGUAUUUCAUGUACAGGAUAGGUGGGAGACUGGGAAACACAGGCGUCAGCUUGUGCGGAGUCGCCCUUGGGAUACCACCCUUGAAGUGCUGGAAUUCUAACCUGUGGCCAUGAAUCUGGUCAGGGGACAUUGUUAGGCGGGCAGUUUGACUGGGGCGGUCG
This 2180-nucleotide ribosomal RNA is filed under the name gut metagenome. Its description in RNAcentral is "bacterial LSU rRNA". It matches the Rfam family "Bacterial large subunit ribosomal RNA", at positions 14 to 2285 of the family's 2925-position model. The record is from RNAcentral.